AAUGGAGGAAACUCUGACGCAGCCAUGCCGCGUGAGUGAAGAAGGCCCUAGGGUUGUAAAGCCCUUUCAGAUGCGAAGAUAAUGACGGUAACAUCAGAAGAAGCUCCGGCUAAAUUCGUGCCAGCAGCCGCGGUAAUACGAAUGGAGCGAGCGUUGUUCGGAAUCACUGGGCGUAAAGCGUAUGUAGGCGGAUAAGAAAGUCAGAAGUGAAAUCCCAGGGCUUAACCCUGGAACUGCUUUUGAAACUUCUUGUCUAGAGUCCCGGAGGGGUUGGCGGAAUUCCGAGUGUAGAGGUGAAAUUCGCAGAUAUUCGGAGGAACACCAGUGGCGUAGGCGGCCAACUGGACGGGAACUGACGCUGAGAUACGAAAGCGUGGGGAGCAAACAGGAUU
Molecule: ribosomal RNA, 392 nt
Filed under: uncultured Alphaproteobacteria bacterium
Lineage: Bacteria; Pseudomonadati; Pseudomonadota; Alphaproteobacteria
Description: bacterial SSU rRNA
Rfam family: Bacterial small subunit ribosomal RNA
Source: RNAcentral